This 503-nucleotide long non-coding RNA is filed under the name Setaria viridis. RNAcentral's name for it is "long non-coding RNA (SVIR_LNC004147)". Lineage: Eukaryota; Viridiplantae; Streptophyta; Magnoliopsida; Poales; Poaceae. The record is from RNAcentral.
ACUAAUUGGAUAACGUACUUUGACCCCGAAGCUGUGCCGAAGAUGAUUGAUUUCCAUCUUGGGAUUUGCUUGAUUUUACUUUGUUGUUGUGUUGGUGAACCGCCGUGAGUAGAGGGCAUUGCGUAAAGAAACAAGAGGUUUUUUCAAAAAUGUCACCCCGCCUCUUGUUUCUUUGCUCAAGGCGUUUGCUUGAUUUUUUUAUCUUGGUGACCGGGAUCGAAGCUUUGGGUUUUUGCGAUAAAAGUGUUGUUGUUUCCUUUAGCACGACCUUUAUUCAGAUUAUCUCGAGAAAAGGUCCUCAAAGAUCGUUGUUUUUUGCAUAAAUUAUAAUUGCACUUGUGAGGGGCCGUGAAGAUAAGUCCACGUAAAACUUGAGACCGAGUUUUGUUGACUUAGAUAAUAGACGAAGGUUCGGUUCAUAUCGCAACCUUCAGUUGCUUCAACCUACUUCCUCGGGGAGCGAGAAAAAAGAAGGGAGAUUCUAUCUUAAUGUUUAGCUGCUU